AUCACCUGUUCGUUCGUUCCCAUGUCGGGCGCCAUGACGUCGACAUGCGGCCCCACGAAUGGAAUCAUCUCCUGCAUGUAGCGGCGAGACAGGGAUUCCAGCUCGCGUGCGGACAAACUCAAGGNNNNNNNNCCGAUACCUCCCUUGGCGCCGCCGUAUGGCAAACCAACAAGCGCACACUUCCAACUCAUCCAGAUUGCCAGCGCGGCAACCUCGCCAAGAUCGACGCUUGCAG
Molecule: unclassified non-coding RNA, 235 nt
Filed under: Hevea brasiliensis (rubber tree)
Lineage: Eukaryota; Viridiplantae; Streptophyta; Magnoliopsida; Malpighiales; Euphorbiaceae
Source: RNAcentral